UUGCAGGUGUUUGUGGAAUGAAAGGUUAUCCAGGUCCCAGAUGUUCCCACCAUCUUGUCUCAGAUGCCUUCAGUGCCCUCUCCAAGCUCCUGCUUUUCUCUGUACAGAAUAACCAGGGCAAGUAUAGCUGUGUGAGAUAGGUUUUUGUUAUUUAGUACUUUUAGUGCUAGCAGUAUUAUUAUUUUAAUGAGCAGUUAUUCAGUGUUGUCUCUGCCCUGGUUUACCAGUCUGUGCUGCUAUUUGUGUGAGAGCUGCCUUGUGAGCUGUGAGGGAAGUGAAUUGCUCUGAAUCUGACUGCAGUUUACACUGGGGGCAAUGAGAGAUUGACCAGGUCUAUGAUCUCAGUGAAACUGGCACAAAUAUGGGCUUUUGAAAAUGGAGAAGCUGCCUACAUGGUAUGAAAGGUGUUUUUGCAGUGUAUUCCCUUUGAGUUUGGCAGAGAACAGGUUUUUCAGCUAUCAGUUCAACUGGGUCUCUUAAUGAACAGCUGUUCCUCAUUGGCAGCCACCAGUUUCUUGUGGAUUAUUUCUGAAACAGCAAGAGACAGCAGCAAUCAUUUCUGUUACCCUUGACUAAAGGCUGCCUGUCAAAAUGUUUCCUCCAUCUCUGUAGCAAGGAUUAGGGUGUUUUUCCCAGCUCAUGAGGAGUUAGGUGAUCUUAAAGGAUUUCCCAGUCUGCUCCCAGAUUCCUCCAAAAAGUCUCAUUUGUAAGUUUGUGACCAAAGAAAAUAAAUAUCAGAUCAACAGCUACCUUUCCUUCAAGAUGUUCUUAGCGCAGGUACUUGCACUGAGGAGGAAAACAGACUCCACAGGAGUGGGUGAAAAUGAACACAAGACACCCCUGUGCUCAGGCUCAUCUGCAGCAUUUCCAUCUCUGAUGCUGAGGAAGGUUUUUGCACCAUACCUGUUUGGUGCCGUCAGGAGUUUAUCCACUGGAGUUCUCCCCACCCUCGGUGCCUGAACACACCAAAAGUUGCCUGGCAAGACAGAGGCCUGAACCAGGAUGAUGAAGGCAACAGGAAUAUGGAAGAAAAUCAGUGGCUGUGUGUGAGGAGUUGGUUGGACACGGAGCCCCCUCAGGUGCAAAGCCAGAAGCUGUAAGGCCUGGCAGGAUCAGGAUGGAGGAGCUGGCAGCUCCCUCACCCUCCCUAAAGGGAAAGAGCUGCCAAAAGGGAACGCAGCCCUCGAAGUUGUUUGUUCUUCUAACAGCAGGUUGAGUUGGCUUUUAUGUUUCCAAAUGUGUAUCUGUGCACCUCCCCACUGAUUCAGAGCAGCUGAUAUGCCAGGAGACCGGGAGGAUGGCUCCUGGGGAAGACAAAAAUGCUGGUAGAAAGGGAAAUUUCACACUCAGAUAUCUGGAGUCUUUUUUAUCAUAAAAGAGGAAGAGCAAGCUGUGCAUGACAGGUAUUAGUCAUAUUAUGCAAUUCAGUACUGGGAAGUACACAAGGGCUGCAAUGAGAAGCAUUGUGUGAGAACUGAUGUAAAACUGACUAUUCACACUAAAACUACUUCAGCAUUUCUAUGAGUGCUUUAUCUUGAAAGCACCUCAUAUAAAUAUUUCCAGAGGUAAAAGAUGAUGUGAGUCUGCAGGGUAUUAAAAUCUGGAGGGGAGGACUAGUCUG
Molecule: long non-coding RNA, 1621 nt
Organism: Passer domesticus (house sparrow)
Lineage: Eukaryota; Metazoa; Chordata; Aves; Passeriformes; Passeridae
Exons: 4
Source: RefSeq, a predicted model, not a curated record